ACAUAUUAUGCACACUCUAUUUUUGUCAAAACUGUGAAAAAAAUGUUGUUUGUUUUCCCCAUUUUUUGGCAUCUAUAAUUAAUGAGAAUUUAUCUAUGUAUAUGUGACAUUGAAUGAAAGCCCUUUUCCCCUCUAAAAAAUGGUAUAUAAUAUGUGUUGGCGCAAUAAAUGACAGAGAUGCAAAUUGCGUUUGAACACCAACAGCAAAAAAUGCAAAAAUGUCUUCUGUCCUUAAAGGUAAGACAAGCUUUUGAAGCUGUGUCCUUAAGGGGUUAAUCCAGUCA
Non-coding RNA from Pelobates cultripes (western spadefoot toad), 284 nucleotides. The record is from the annotation of a GenBank genome assembly. Lineage: Eukaryota; Metazoa; Chordata; Amphibia; Anura; Pelobatidae.